AAAAACAAAGCAGGGCAUGUUACGAGACCAUCUAAAAAUUAUUUUUAAUGUGACCAGAACUUUUUUAUCACUAUACAUUAUUCUAAUAUCUAGUAUAACUUUUUGUUAUUGGCUUAUUUAUGGAAAGAGUAUGACUGGAGAUAUAGAAAUAAGUGUAAAGAGAAAACAGAGAAUCGAAAAUAA
Long non-coding RNA from Sitophilus oryzae (rice weevil), 183 nucleotides. RefSeq lists it as uncharacterized. Lineage: Eukaryota; Metazoa; Arthropoda; Insecta; Coleoptera; Curculionidae. The transcript is spliced from 2 exons. The record is from RefSeq and is a predicted model, not a curated record.